RNAcentral lists this long non-coding RNA (455 nucleotides) under Nicotiana benthamiana. Its description in RNAcentral is "long non-coding RNA (NBEN_LNC030239)". Lineage: Eukaryota; Viridiplantae; Streptophyta; Magnoliopsida; Solanales; Solanaceae. The record is from RNAcentral.
UUGCAUCUCCUCCUUCUCCUGAUUUUCUUCUCUUUAUCCUUCCCCAGAAUCCUCCUCUCUGCCCAUACCUACAGUUUCCUCUUAAUCUCUAACUGCAUGUUCUUCUUCUUCCUCCUAUAAUGUGGCUCCACUUACUCCUACUCAUGUUCCUACACCUUCUGUUGUAUUCCUAACUAUUCCUCCAGUUUUUCCAUUGAGAAAGUCAUUUAGAACACACCAAAUACAUGGGUAUAUUCUAGACUUUGUGUGUAAUUCUACCUCUAUUUCCUGCCCUUCCCUCUCUUCUGUUUUACCAGCUCACACCAAUAUGAAGCAUGUUUGAAUUUAUGCUUUGUCCUGCCAAUCACAAUCCUUUAUUAACUUUCUUCCCACUGUGCAAGAUCCUAGAUCUUAUUCUUAGGCAGCUUUGCAUCCAGGAUAGCAAGAAGCUAUGUUCAAGGAAUUUGAAGCCUAAG